Molecule: long non-coding RNA, 12699 nt
Filed under: Sorghum bicolor (sorghum)
Lineage: Eukaryota; Viridiplantae; Streptophyta; Magnoliopsida; Poales; Poaceae
Description: long non-coding RNA (SBIC_LNC007242)
Source: RNAcentral
UGCAACAACCAAAACUAUCCAACUGGAUGAUACAACAACAAAACCAGUUACAUAGUUGGGGACUAAUUCCCCUCGAUGCCCACUGCCUCCACUGGUCCUUUGCCUAUCCAGUAUUUGUAGGCAGCAUAAACAGAGGAUACAACCAGGAUGCCGAGGAUCAUGUAGGUAACGAUAGUAGCCACGCUGAUCUGGCUAGGAGCCUUCUUCACUUUGCUUUGUGCCAGCAAGGCCUUUGGCUUAAUCUUUGCCAUCCUACGCUCCUGCUAAUCCCAAGAAACAAAAAAAAAGGGCAGAAUAGUGUGAGCAAAGUGUGCAUAGGAUCAAAAGAAAAAAAGGCUAGGAAGGAUUUUUCUUGGACCUUCGUCAAUCAAAAACAUACUCCUAUCAACAGUAAGUAGGUAAUAGCUACAGGCAUCAUGUUGUCAAAAAAACAUGUUAUUAAGGUGAUUGUUUCUUCAAAGCUAAGAAUACCUGAUUCAUGGUGUAAAAUACAUAAGCAGAGUAUGGUAGUCUGCAAAUAUUAAACAAGUAUAUAACAGAGGCAGCCCCAAGCCAAUGCUAAUACCGGAACACAAAAUAUUAUUAGACUGGCAAAAUAAUGAGGAUCAGAACUUCAGGAUGCAAGCAUGGUAUGUGGCAUGAAGUGGAAAUGCUGGAAACUAUUGCAUCAGGACCAAAUCUCCAGAUGCUGGAAACUAUUCACAAAGUACAAUCUUGUCUGAAGCAAAUAGCAAUUCUGUGAUUCAAAAGAGCAGAUUAAUGAAUGCGAUCAAGCAGAAAAGCUUAAUAUCAUUAUAUUUGUUCAUGGACUACAAAGUUCAGCAAUUCAUGUUCAUAUGCAAACUAUAGGAUGUAUCAUUUACAGUUGAAACUUGAAAGACUUGGUGGACAGGGAAAUACAAGAUAUUCUCAUGGAGUUUCAGAAUUUUAGAUUAUGAAACCAGAAGCAAUGAACCAGUGGCAAACCCACAGCCUGACCCUGAGCAGCCACCCGAUCUCGGCGGCGAAGCACAAAGAGAAAAUUUAUUUGACACAAUGGAGAACAUUGUAUUUUUCUUAAAUAUGUUUUUGCAAAAUGAGAAUAGCCUGGGCUUCUAAAAGUUUCUGGAUCUGCCACUGCAAUGAGCCUACUUGGAAACUCCAUGGCACAACAUAAGUUCAGGUAAGAGUUACUUGUCUUAUCCAUGGAAUAAGGACAAGACUAAUAAAGAAUGACACAAAUAAAAAGGUUCAUGAGUUCAUUUCUCCAACUUCGCAUCCUGACUUAGCUUUGGCACUCCACUAUCAAUUUACUGGCUUUAUACGCAGCAGCAGCAGCCAGCAGGGUAGUCAAACAAGUCAUUACUUUGCUUCCAUCUCCCUCUGAGAAUCUCUUACUGUUUCUUAAAAUAUGGGCAAGGUGUGUUCAUGUUUUGUUGCAUUUAUAUGAUUAUCACUGAAAUAGAAAUUAACCAUAUGAAUAUGAUUUAGGCAUGUUUGAAAUAUUGACAUGAGAAAAAAAUAUAGUAUCAUGGGAGUAUAUGAUUACUGAACCAAAACAAUGAACAUACAUGGAAAACUCCAUGGCAGAACAAAAGUUCCAGGUCAAUGUUGUAUGACAUGGCAUAAGGGGCACUUCAAUAGGGAUAGACAAAUAGAAAAAGGUUCAUGAAUCCAUUUCUACAGCUUUGCAGCCUGACUUGACUUCUGCACACGCCUUUAUCAAUUUACUGGCUUGACAGGAAGCAGCAACUGGCUAAUAAAACAAGUUACUCCUCUCUUUCACCCUCCAAGAAUCUCUCUUAGACUCUUACUACUUAUAAAAGUUAAAAAUAUGACCAGGACAUGUUCAUAAUUUGCUUUAUUGUUGGUUGGUAAUCUGAAAUCUGAACUAAUAUUGAAGUAAAGUAGGAAAAUAUACAGGAAAUCAAAAUGAUUAAGAAAAGAUAAUUCAAUAAGCAAACAGAAAGUUGAAUAAAUUUGAGCACUAGUAUUUACAAUAGUAUUGUAUUUUCUUUUGCUGUGUAUAUGAAAAUGCUAGGUACACCGUACACCAAGCACAAGAAAAAACUAGUUUUUGUUUACAUCAUUAAUAAUGUCCUAAACUAGCGUAAAUAUUCACUUGCCACCUCAGAGUAGGCCUUUGUCAUGGGCAUAAAGAGGGGCGCCGUAGGGCGCAAGUGUCCUAGUUGGGCCUUAAGCCCAUUAGUGUUAAUUAGUGUCUCUCUUAGUUAUUUGUCUAUAGGAAUAGUACCAUAUUGUCUAGGCACAAGAGGUGUUAGUCCUAUGUACCUUUUAUAUUCAGCCCAUGGGGCACAAUGGAAAGGAAGCAAUGAAUUAUGAAGAAACAAUUCUAGUCUCCCUCAUUCUCUUAAGCUCUUGGCAAAGCAUAAGGCCUAGUUAUCUCCCAAACAUCCAUCUAUCAUAACAUCUGGUAUCACGAGUCUGUCGAUCCAUCCACAGCUGCUGCCAAUCCUCCACAUCAAAAAAAAAUCAAUCCAGAUCGCCGGCCGAUCCAUCUUCCACGGCCAUCCACCACCACAGCCCCCAGCCGCCGCGCCUCCAUCUCCAUCAUCCGCCGCCAACAGCAACUAUCUCGUCGAUCCCCUUUGUUUCCAAAAAAAAGAGAUCAGCCGAUCCUAGCAGCCAGCAGCAGCGUCACCUCAACCCUAAACACGCCGCCGCAGCUGCCCCACUACGCGCCGCCACCACCACAGCCCAAUCCCCAACACCAUCUCGCGCAGCCACAACCCCACUUCCAGCCGCUGAGCCAACUCUCCGAUCCCGAUCCAUCUUCCACGGCCAUCCACCACCACAGCCCCCAGCCGCCGCGCCUCCAUCUUCACCCCUCGCCGCCGAUCCAGCAGCUCGACCUCGACCCGUCGACGCCCGUACAUGAUGGAGUUCCCGCAGUUUGAUGGAACCUCUGAUCCGGAGGCCUUCAUCAACCAGUGUGAGCUCUACUUCCGCCGGGAGUGCAUCAUGGUGGAAGAACGGGUAUGGCUAGCUUCUCGCAAUUUGAAAGCUGAUGUCCGCGAGUGGUUCCGCCAAGUCACACAAGAUGAAUACCCGGCAUGGCGUCGCUUCACAGAGCUCCUGCAGCGGCGCUUCAAACCAACUCUGCGCCCCAAUCCGCUCCACCGGCUAUCCCUUGGUGUCGACAACUGCCUGCGCAGCCUUGCGGAGAUGACCGCACAGCUGGAUUGCCUCCGGGUGCGUCUCGAGAAGGAGGACCGUGAACGCCGGGCAGCUGUACGCCUCCAGGCAGCAGCACGGGGACUCCUGGCACGUCGCCGAGCGCAGGCUCUUCGUGCCACAAAAGCAUCGAAGGAGCAAGCAACGGUGCGCCUCCAGGCAGCAGUGCGCGGAAUGCUUGUCCGUCGCAUGGUGCGGCAGAUACGCAUGCUCCUCAGCUCGACGUUGUCGUACGUGUUCAUCCACUCGGACUCGCCGAUACGGCCUGCGGCUCCAAUUGCAGUGGAGGUCUAAGUAUGGGCGUUUCCAGUGCAGCGACCUCGCAUCAGCAUCCAGCAUCAGGCAUCAAAGGCUAUCUCAUUCAUCCUUGUGCCUGCCGUGGUGCUAGACACUUUCAGCAUAAGAGCCAGCUGCUUCACACUCCACUCUUCAGCCUACAUGAAGCCAGCAGAGGCGCUCUUCCCAUGGGAUCCAGGUGGAUAUCCUUGUAUUUUAGUCUUCAAUAAAAAGGGGAAGCCGAGAUGUAAAAGGCUUAACCCUAUUUCGCGUCAGCUCUCCAGCUCGAGGACGAGCUGGGUCUCCAAGGGCGGGGGAGAUGUCAUGGGCAUAAAGAGGGGCGCCGUAGGGCGCAAGUGUCCUUGUUAUCAUAGAUGGAUGUUUGGGAGAUAACUAGGCCUUAUGCUUUGCCAAGAGCUUAAGAGAAUGAGGGAGACUAGAAUUGUUUCUUCAUAAUUCAUUGCUUCCUUUCCAUUGUGCCCCAUGGGCUGAAUAUAAAAGGUACAUAGGACUAACACCUCUUGUGCCUAGACAAUAUGAUACUAUUCCUAUAGACAAAUAACUAAGAGAGACACUAAUUAACACUAAUGGGCUUAAGGCCCAACUAGGACACUUGCGCCCUACGGCGCCCCUCUUUAUGCCCAUGACAGCCUUGCCAUCCUUUCUCCUCAAUUGAUGAAGAACUUUUUUUAUCAUUGGUGGUGCAGAGCUAGCUAGACUCUGAGUGGCCCCACCCAACAAGGAUUAAAUUCCCUAAUCAUUUUAGGUGUAUGGACUCUCUGGAAACACAGGAAUGACUAGUUUUUAAUGAAGUUACACCAAGGCUCCAGAGCCCUAUACCUUGCUGAUGAGGAGUACCAGCUCUGGAGUACGGUAGGCGCUAUGGGGCUGUUUUAUCACAGCCCUAGCCUGGAUAACUAGGUUGUAGGUCUGCUCGCCCCUUUUUCCAUUUUUAAAGGUGUGUAUGUAAUCCCUUUAUUUCUCUCUUAAUGAAAUAUGGUCGCGAAAAAAAACAUGUAAUCCUUUUAUCUGAGGGGGUGUGUGUGUGUUGGAACUCUGUUCUUCUAGUAAUACAAUGAUACACAGCCUCUCCUAGGUGUUCAAGAAAAAAAGAACCUUACAAGCUGAUAUUGAUCAUACAAAAAUUGGAGGGGACACUUCGAUUCGACAUAUAGAUCACCUGCUAACUUACUACAGAAGGUCUGUACCAUAAUUAAGAAAAUCAUAGUGCCUAGUGCCAUUUAGUGAAGGACAACAAAUGGGCUAAGAUUACCUUGUUGUAGACUCAUAUAAAUGACCCAUCAAGCAUGGAUCUGUAGACUCAUAAGGCAUGGGAUCCAACGAACACCCACGGUUUCUUUUUUAGUUUUUUUGGAAAAAGUUUCAUAUCCAGCAGGGACGGACCCAGUAAGGCUGUGUUCGAUUACCUGGAUUGGAACCAGGAACUAUUCCAGCUUUUCAAAACUAUACAAAUUAGUGAACAAUUUCCAACUGGAAUCAUUCCAGUGACUCAAUCCAGAGCAACCGAACAAGCCUUAAAGGGCAUGGGGGUACACAAUAAUUUUGCAAAGAAACUGAAGCUAGUAGGCAUAACACAUGAAUACACUUGGAAUUAGAUCAGAUCCAAAUAGGUUUCGGGAACCCUGUUUCGCACAGCAGGAAGGGAACGAGGGAAGAGGAGCGCGCAUACUUAGUGGUUGCUCGUCGCCGGCGAAGGGCUGUUGAAGGGACCGACGAAAGCGUGGGCACCUGGCCUAGGGCGGCGGCGACGGUCGCCAAGUUGUCCCCACGAGAGAGGGCGCGCUGGCGGGGGUUGAACCGGAGAAGGGAAAGCAGGGGGCAAUACUGGAGAAAAAGUUGGGAUUUUUCAAACUGAAUUUUCGUGUCCAGAUCUCUGUUUUCAAGCUGGCCUGAGUUUGACGGCUUUUUAGUUACUCUCCUCAGUUCCCUCCAUUCCAGUGAGUUGUUGCGAAGGGGCCUGAGUUGUUUUGUUUUUUUUUCUAGAUUUAUUUAUAGGUUUUUAUAUUAUGUAUAUAUCUAGAUAUAGUCCAUGCUUGGUUAAUCAUCUCCGCAAAGGAAUUUAAGAGAACAAGGUGAAUUUUGACGUGUAAGUGAUUUAAUUCCACUUGGUGUUUGUUCGGUUUUGCGAGGAUUGCAGGAUUUAAGGGGAUUGAUGGUUGAUCCUUUACAAGACAAAAUCCUCCAAAUCACCUCCAAUAUCCUUGAAGAGGAGAUUAACCAUACAAGUUUGUUUAUUUGGCUGAUAAGCCACGACAAAAAAUAUUGUUGGCUGAUUUGUUGUGAGAGAAAAAUACUGUUAAAUGAUUGACAAAUUCAGCUGAUAAGCUCAAGCGGCCAAGUUCCCUUAAACACUUCCAUUACUUCUCCAAUCUUCACUAGUGUCAAAUCAACCAAUUUUGAGUUCUCCAAUCCAAAUUUUGAGUACAGCGCAUGGGAGAAUUUUGUGGCCACGCGCGUGCAGCUGGCAGCGUGAUUGAUUCCUCCACCUGAUCUUGUCUCUUGACCAGCGACGACGAGGAGGGAAGUGGCAUGCAUGUUUUUUUUUCCUUCUUUCUCGUCGUCCUGCACGACAAUCGGCAGUAGCAAAAACCAAAAGGUGUUGUCUCAAGAUGAUAGAGUAGCCUAUAAAGUUGGGCUUAAUCUUCCAGCCAACAAGCCAAGUACAGUGUACCGAACCAAGUGUUUUACAUUUGUUUUCUCAAAAUAUACGUAGUCCCACGCAUGAUUUAGUUAACGACGAGGAUUGGCUCUCCCAUCUUAAAAAAAAUUGCAAAAAGAUUCAAUAUUUGGAAAAGGGAAAGUGGUACAGGUCAACUUUGAUCAAUGCCAACCUGAGUAAGGGCCCGUUUGCCAGGGCUUCUCCAGCGACUUCAGGAGCUGUUUGGAGUUGUUUUUUGCCAAAUAGGAUAAAAUAAAAUGGCUCCAUCAAUAAAACCCCUAAAAAUAUGCUCUCACAGAGUUUUGGGGUGCGAUGGAGCCAAAAAUAGUGGCUUCUCCCAGCUCCACCUUAUCCUAAGUGGUGUUCUGUGAGAGCACAUUUUAAGAAAAGAGUUGUUUUGUCAAACGAUUUACCAAAACGGCUCCAGCUCUACUGAUAGAGCUGUUUAUGGAAUUGAUGCCCCGAGAAACAACUUCACUAGUGAAGUAGAGCCAUGCCAAACGAGGCCCGUCUACAACAUUCCUUCUAUCUUUUACACAAGUUGUGAUUAAUAAUUUGGAUAAAAUCAAAAGUGUCUUUAUGGGGUGGCACUAAAUGGAGUAAGUGGCCAUCUUGUGAAAUGGACCAACAUUUGCUAGAGUAAAAAGGCUGGGUAUCAAGGAUCUAUGAAAGUUAAACGUAAGUCUAUUAUGUAAGUGGUUAGUUGUGCUGGUACCAAACUUCUAUAUUUUCCUUACACGGCUGUCAGUAGAAAUGGAAUCGCUUCUCUUAAAAAAAAAGGUAAACAUAAGAAGGAGAGAAAUUAAGAACAAGGUUUCUAAAUAGCCAUACAUAUAGUACGUCUUAGAACUUACUUAGAUCUAUUAACACUAUAAAAUUAGUAGCUACAAAUCAUACUAUUGGAUCCAAAUAUAUCUGCUAAUAAACCUGCUAAUUAUUAGUAAGGGACUACUAACUAUUAGCUCUAUUAGCAGGUUUAGAAUUGCUAAUAGCCGUAAUAGCUGCUGAUAGUGUAGGGAUACCUUUAACUUGCUAUCCAUCCAUUUAUUAGCACGUGAAUUUAAAUGGAUCCUACUAAAAGUAUAGCUAGCUAAAAAAUUAAUAGCAGCUCCAACAAUUAGCUUUUAAGUUAGCUCUAAGAUUUUUCUCGUACUAUUUUAAUAAAAGAGAUUAAGAGCUAGCUCUUGCACAUAUUUCAAGGUGAUGUGAGAAUGUCAUGUAGGGUUAUCCAUGUUAAAAGCUAUGUGCUAAAAGUUAGCACCAUUGUGGGUGUCCUUAGCUAUCCAAUUUUUAGUGCUAAUAGGUUCGAACAGGACCUUAAUUAAGUUGGGAAAGCUAGUGGAAGGAAAAAAACAGAAGAGGAUACCAUGCCAAUUCGCCAAAGCUAAACUAACAUCAUUAUCAUGAUUAGGGAGGAACCUUAUCUGGACACAUAUAUACAAAAGAUCAAAGAGGGCAUCAUUCGGUGGAUUUCGAGAACGUUACUAAAAGAUGAUGUCAGGCACUCAAGCGCCGUGUCGUGGUGUACUUCGAUUUGCCAAAACAUUCGUGUGUUGGAGUGUGCUUAAACACCCAAUGCAAUGCAAAUGCUAAUUUAGGUUUUGUCUAACUCAACUAGAGCUUAUUAAAAAAAUUAACUCUCAACCAUAUCAAGUGUAGUUCAUUAGGGGUGAAUCUAGAGUAAUUUUCUUGGUCCAUUUAUCCUGACCAAAUUUGUAAAUCCCUUAUAUUGAUACACUUCUACAACUCCAAAGUUUAAUUAACCUAUGCCUGCGUGCAUAUACUAGGGAGUUGUUCGCUCCUUGUAAUUUCAGUUUUGGAUUAUUUUGUGGAGUUUAUUCUCUGUUGAGCCGCCGCUUGAGAAACCUUAGAUGGUGAUCCCAUCAGAUUUUUCAUCUUGAAGAUUAUUUUCAGGAUUCUUAUGGAUCUGCGUGGAAUGCGUGAUUAAACUGCUAUGGAUUAAGUGUCACUGCUACUCGAAUUGCAUCUAAUCCAGUUUUUAUAAGCCGAGAACUCCUUAUUUUGUACUGCUACCUAGUUUUGGGAGUGGAAAGAGUUGAGUUUGAGGCCAAGUAUUUGGGAUUGCCAACUCCAAAUGGCCGGGUUCGAAGAGGGCUAUUCCAACCUCUCGAGGAGCGUUUCCACAAAAGAAUGGUUGCAUGGAAGGAAAAAUAUUUAUCUGCAGCAGGAAAGGAGGUGUUGAUCAAAUCGGUGGCUCAGGCUUUGCCAGUUUAUAUUAUGAGUGUUUUUAAACUUCCUCUAACCCUGUGUGGUGAACUCAUGAAGCAGAUUCGUGCUUUCUAGUGGCGAGGUGAAAAGGGUCGAAGGAAGGUGCAAUGGAUCCCAUGGGAAAAAUAGGUGCUGACGAAGGAUUUGGGUGGUAUGGGUUUUAAGGAUCUUCGCCUGAUGAACCAGGCGCUGCUUGCUCGACAGGCCUGGAGACUUGUGGCUUUUCAUGAUAGUCUCUGUGCAAGGGUGUUGAAAGCUAAAUACUACCCCAACAGUAAACUAUUAGACCGGGCUCCGACUGGUGAUGCGUCACAGACAUGGAGAGCUAUUGAAUAUGGUUUGGAGCUGCUAAAAUAGGGCGUCAUUCACUGGAUUGGUAAUGGAUUGAAACUGAUUGGUCCUAUGUGCUCUUGUCGGCCACUGGGUGCAUCACCUCAUCGAUGACAGUGGAAACAGCUAUUCAGAGGUAUUUUUUCCCUUGUGAUGUUGUUGAAAUUUUUAAGAUCAAGUUGCGUGUUCAAGAGACUCCAGAUUUUGUGGCCUAGCAUUAUGAGAAGACGGGUUAUUUCUCUGUUCGUAGUGCUAACAGGCUAGCUGUCCGGAAUUUCUAUGGGGUUGGUAAUAUUGGGAGUAGUUCCAGUGCUGGAUGGAAGAAAUUGUGGCAGGUAGAUGUGCCAUCCAAAGUCAGCAUUUUUGCUAUGAAGGUUGUUAACAAUGGUUUGCCUACUCGUGUUAAUAAGAAAUACCGCCACCUUAAGCAGCAAGAUGUAUGUCAGAUAUGUGGGCAAUAUGCUGAAGAUGUUUACCAUGCCUUGGUGGCUUGUCCACAUGCUUUGACCCUACGACAGGCUAUGAGGGAGCACUGGGUGUUACCGUCAAAGCAGGUUUAGCCAAGGCUGAUCCAGAAUGGUUGAUGAUGCUGAUUCACAAUAAUACUCGAGAGGUAUUGGCAAAUGUUUUCAUGCUCUUUUGGCAUACUUGGAGUAUGCGAAAUAAGGUGAUCCAUGAGGAUAUCUUUCCUUUUAUUGCCAGCUCAGUCACCUUUCUAACCAGGUAUAUGACAUCUCUGAAUAAUAUCCGACAACAGCCUGAUCACAUGGAUUCCAAAGGAAAAUGUUGUGCAGAGUUUGUGGCUAGUAAUACUCAGAGGCAAACAAAUUCAGAGGAGGAAGUGUUGGGUGUUACCACCAUAGGGUUCCUUCAAGAUUAAUGUUGAUGCUACUUUUAAUCAGUUGUCUGGUGAUGCUAUAGUGGGGAUUGUGAUCCGAGAUUGACAGGGUCCUUAAAACUUACUGUCUGGCGCUUUUUAUCUUAUUGCAGGGAUGCUGAGGAGGCCGAGGAGAUAGGUUGAGAUGGCCAGAAACUCCGAUGAUCUUGGAAUCUGAUUGUCAAAUGGUGGUUGCCAAAUUUCACAGCAAGGGUUGUGAUCGUUCUGCCCUGUGGAAUGUCUUCAUGAUGAUGCAUGACACCGAUAGUCAGUUAUGCAAAUUAGAGGUUGUUAAGAUUAGUAGGGAUCAGAAUAAUUUGGCGCAUGAGUUGGCACGUUUUGCUUCUAGGUCUAGGUGGUGUCAGUGUUUUUUUGCUUAUUUUCUAGACUGGGUUGUGUCCCUCUCUUGUAAGGAUGUUACUUAAUUCUUAAUAAAGUUUGUUCUUUCGCAAAAAAAAGGAUUGGUUCGUUGAUCAGAUUUUAGGCCAUACUACAGUAUUGUGGCAUCUUAAUUAAUUAUUACCUAAGUACCCAUUAAUCUGAUAUGUCGUUGCUGUGAGGUUGCUGCUGCUGUCACUAGUUGAAUAUUUUAAUCUAAACUCUGUUUAGAGGGAGAUCACGAGUAUAUGUCCUAUUUACGUGUUGAAUUUGGCAAUUGACGUAUAUUGUUGCUACCUGGUUCCUUUGGUGACUUGCUCUUGUCUGUGAUUGGUCAGGCCAACGCUGAUGCACUAAACACUGCCGAUAGCAAAUAUAUUUGUUACCUGCUGAUUUCCUGAGCUGAGAGAAGAAAUUAUUUUCUGUUCGCUGAUUGAUAAAUUGAAAGAUUUCUAAUAUAUUUGCAUGUAUCAUGAAAGAUUGAUAAAUUGAAAGAUUUCUAAUAUAUUUGCAUGUAUCAUGAAAGAUUGAUAAACUAAAAGAUUUCUAAUAUAUUUGCAUGUAUCAUGAAAGAUUGAUAAACUAAAAGAUUUCUAAUAUAUUUGCAUGUAUCAUGAAAGAUGGCAAAAUUAUUUUAGGUAUAGUAGGCGUGUCUUCGUCAUGUCAUUUACAAACAGAAUGAUGUUCCAAAUUGAUUCGGCUUUAGUGGACUUCUCUAAUUGAGAGAUAAGAUGAUGAGCCAAUUGCCCUAUAGUUGUGUUGGUUGGAGCACAUACAAGAACUCUAGGUUUCUUAGCUCGUCAGAAGGAAAUACAGGAUUACUGAAAAAACUGUGAUUAUCGGUGUCGGGUGGGCUCUAAACCAAUCGUACGAACUAGAAGAGUGCUCAGUUGCUGAAAUAUAGCUUGCUAUUAUAUUACACUGGAUGAAUUAAGUCCAAACUGGACAGUGGCAGCCUCAAAAUUACUUGCUUUAUUUUCUACAUCAGGCUGCAACAUAUAUUAAAAAAAAACACUAUCAACGCAAAAAAAGCAAAACAAUAGAUAGAGAAAGAGAGAGAUGCCAAUACUACUUACAUCAUUAUUACUUUUAGUCAAUAUGAAAUUGAUUAUUCUAGACCUAUCUUUGAAACCUCUCACCAUUUGUUGCCAAAUACAUUCAUCAAUACUUAGAUUAGCUAGGUGCAUGAUCUGGUACAACCUUUCCUGACUCAUGCUGCACUCACGCGGCGAUUCUGAUACCAAGUCAUCCAUCCAUACUAUAUAACAAUCCUCAAAUUCACACACAUCCUAAUCAUUAACCCGCGUAACCACUAGGAUGGUGCAAAAGGAACUGUUGUUGAGGAUUUCAUCUAGACUCUCAUAAUAGCAUGAGAUUGUGCUUGACAAAUUCUUCCCCUUUGGUAGAGAAAGCUUGACACGGUAUUCAUUUGGCCAGCUUUGUUUGAGUGUAUGGGGUGAAGCUACAUAUGUACUUGUGGGCGCAUAUGACCCCUCAAAAUACAUAUUAAAUAAUAAAGUCUAAAAUUUUCUUAUAUAUGCACCUUCUAUGGCCGAAGUCUAUGCACUUACAAGAAAGCUGCACCCUCUUUAAUUUACUCUCACUUUGCACCAACACAGGCAUACAUCAAUAUUUGGUUUUGAACAAAAGUUGAUAUGACACAUACCAUAGGUACAGGAUCGCAAAAACAUUAUUCUUCCAACAAAAGUUAUGUUUCUUUUAUGUUUCUUUUACUCAACAGAGCCUCCGCCUCAGUAGUAGCUUUUAUUGCUCUAUUUCUCCUCCCCCUGCAUAUUAUUUUUUUGUCUCAAGAUGAUUGUAGCCUCUGCAAGAUACCAUCACACAUGUGAGAUGUAUGAAUUUAGAAUGCCAUGGCAUCCAAACCUAGUUGGUAAGGGAGGGGAUGACUUAGAGCUACGCCCUAACCCUACUCAGCACAUUCCCUAUGUUCACGUAGUGGUAAGCGCUUCACUUGGGACGGGUCAUUUUUUAUUAUAUUUUCCCAUAAAUGGUAAAGUAACAAAUAUAUGCCAUGUUGAAUAAAGAAAUUUAGAACAUUAAAAACUAGUUCCUCUGAACCAUAAAAAGAGUAUUCUUGCUUCCUAAGAAAUCAACUAUCUUUAACUUUGACCAAAUCUAUAUAACAAUAUUAUUACUUAUGGUACACAAUUAUUAUCAUUGGAUAGAUCUUUCAAUAUAUUUUCACAAUAAACUUGAUUUGGAUUGUUAAUAUUUUCUACAAAUCUAAUUAAACUCAACAAAAAUAACUAGUAUAAAUCCCAUAGCGACUCUUUUUAUGGAAUGGAGGGAGCAGUAGACCGAUAAAUUCGUGCGUCCUGAGUAACACUAAAGAAAUUCAGCACAUUCAAAACAAGGAAACGGCACUGCAUGUUCCAAGGGUUACAGUAAAAUUGCAGCAACAUACAUUCUACGCAUGUUCCAUCAAACCAUUUACCACUGCACUGCAACAACCAAAACUAUCCAACUGGAUGAUACAACAACAAAACCAGUUACAUAGUUGGGGAUUAAUUCCCCUCGAUGCCCACUGCCUCCACUGGUCCUUUGCCUAUCCAGUAUUUGUAGGCAGCAUAAACAGAGGAUACAACCAGGAUGCCGAGGAUCAUGUAGGUAACGAUAGUAGCCACGCUGAUUUGGCUAGGAGCCUUCUUCACUUUGCUUUGUGCCAGCAAGGCCUUUGGCUUAAUCUUUGCCAUGCUACGCUCCUGCCAAUCCCAAGAAAAAAAAAAGGUAGAAU